This is a long non-coding RNA of Mus musculus (house mouse), 577 nucleotides long. RefSeq annotates it as predicted gene, 33804. NCBI's taxonomy places the organism in Eukaryota, Metazoa, Chordata, Mammalia, Rodentia, Muridae. The record is from RefSeq and is a predicted model, not a curated record. The transcript is spliced from 2 exons.
GCUAGACUUGCCUCUGAAGCUUUCAUGGGUGCAGUGGGUCCCCAGGGUUGGGAUUGGAAUGUUGUUUCUAAAGCCCACCUUAUUAUCUUCGUAGAUCUUUAGAAACAAAGGGCAACUGAGGGAGCAUCAUCUCUCUUGGGCGAGUCACGGUGUCUGCUGGCCCUGUUCAUGACCCUGUCCAUUUCCUAUUGGCUGUACAUCACUGUACAGCUGGUUUUAAACUAGUUUUUCACAUAACAGCUUUACUGUUGAAUGGCGUGAUUUUAGGUAAUUGAGUCCUAAAGGAAAGUACACUCACCUGAGCUGGCAGGUUGACUUGCGGCUGGGUCCCUGGGGUCCGGAUGACGUGGCCUUGGCCAGACUCCAGUCAGAAGACAUUGGUAUGGUAGAAAGAGCAUGGGGGAUAAACUCAGGCUUGCACAAGGGCUGAGCUUGCUAACUGCUGUGUGACCUCAGCCGGAACCUUAACCUCAUGGGCCUCGUUCUCUCAGCUCUGGGGCAGGAGGCUUGGUCUGUGUGUCCUGCCACCUCCCCUCCCCUGUGAUUGCCAAACAGCUGAGGGAGCAGAGCUUACAUG